AACUUUCGAUGGUAUGAUAUAGGCCUACCAUGGUGGGACGGGUAACGGGUUAUUAUCAUCCGAUUCCGGAGAGGGAGCCUGAGAAACGGCUACCACAUCCAAGGAAGGCAGCAGGCGCGCAAAUUACCCUUCCCCCACGCGGAGAGGUAGUGACCAUGAAUAACGCUACGGGGCUCUUUAGGCUCUCGUAAUUGGAAUGAUUACAAUUUAAAUCCCUUAACGAGGAACAAUUGGAGGGCAAGUCUGGUGCCAGCAGCCGCGGUAAUUCCAGCUCCAAUAGCGUAUAUUAAAGUUGUUGCAGUUAAAAAGCUCGUAUGUGAAUUUCGGGAUUUGCGUAUCGGUCGUGCCUUAAGUUUCAUGAACUGGUGUAGUGAAUUUCUCACCUUCUGGAAAACCGUGAUGUCCUUAAUUGGGUGCCACGAGGAACCAGGACCUUUACUUUGAAAAAAUUAGAGUGUUUAAAGCAGGCAUUUUUGCUUGAAUACAUUAGCAUGUGAUAAUACAAUAGGACGGCCUGAUUCUAUUUUGUUGAUUUCUAGGAUCACCGUAAUGAUUAAUAGGGAUAUGUGCCUCCAUUAGUAUUCAAUUGUGNAGAGGUGANANUCNCGAAUUUAUUGAAGACUACCUACUGCGAUUGCAUGUGCCUAGCACGUUUUCACUAAUCUGGAACGAUAGUUAGCCUAUCGAAGACCAUCAGAUACCGNCGCAGUCUUAACGAUACACUAUGCCGACCANGAAUCAGACGAUGGUUAUUUUUUACUGACUCGUUUGGCACCUUACCGAAAACCAAAGUGUUUGGGUUC
RNAcentral lists this ribosomal RNA (803 nucleotides) under uncultured Glomus. RNAcentral describes it as "bacterial SSU rRNA". It matches the Rfam family "Eukaryotic small subunit ribosomal RNA", at positions 317 to 1114 of the family's 1831-position model. Lineage: Eukaryota; Fungi; Glomeromycota; Glomeromycetes; Glomerales; Glomeraceae. The record is from RNAcentral.